CUUCCUACGGGACGCAGCAGUAGGGAAUUUUCGGCAAUGGGCGAAACCCUGACGCAGCAACGCCGCGUGCAGGAAGAAGGUCUUCGGAUUGUAAACUGUUGUCGCAGGGGAAGAAGACAGUGACGGUACCCUGUGAGAAAGUCACGGCUAACUACGUGCCAGCAGCCGCGGUAAUACGUAGGUGACAAGCGUUGUCCGGAUUUACUGGGUGUAAAGGGCGCGUAGGUGGGAUAGCAAGUCAGUCGUGAAAUGCCGAGGCUUAACCUCGGAGCUGCGAUUGAAACUGUUAUUCUUGAGUAUCGGAG
RNAcentral lists this ribosomal RNA (305 nucleotides) under uncultured bacterium. RNAcentral describes it as "bacterial SSU rRNA". It matches the Rfam family "Bacterial small subunit ribosomal RNA", at positions 335 to 654 of the family's 1533-position model. The record is from RNAcentral.